Molecule: RNA transcript, 3294 nt
Organism: Micropterus dolomieu (smallmouth bass)
Lineage: Eukaryota; Metazoa; Chordata; Actinopteri; Centrarchiformes; Centrarchidae
Gene: ascc1
Gene name: activating signal cointegrator 1 complex subunit 1
Exons: 11
Source: RefSeq, a predicted model, not a curated record
UGUGUUUUGUCUUACCUUCCAUCAUUUCACCUGCACCUUUAGGAUAUGUGUACAGGACUUUCCUGGGAGGGAUGAGCUCUGAAGCACUGAAUCCAGAGCCGGUUACCGAGCUGCCGCUCACACCUCCAGCAGAAGAGGACGAAGAAGACGCUGCCAUUGCUUUUGGAAACUUUAAAACACGCACACACACACAAAAUAACUUUUACCAGAAUUACAUGUGAAACAUAACUUACGUACAGUAUGGAAGACUAGCGUUUUAGUAAUCAUGAAGACAGUUAACCGUAGCCAAUCCAGCCUACGAAACUAACAUUAGCUGGUUUGCUUCUUUCCUAGCUUUAUUUAUGGUAAUGGUAACGUUACACUCGAAGCUAUCAACAGCUAACGUUAGGUGGCUAACAAGAAAGCUAACUAUACUGCUGAUACCAACUUAACUUAGGCAACGACCAUUAACCAUUAAAGUUACUAGACACAAAAUAACAAUAACUAACCUUUACUAACAAUAUAACUUAGAGUCAAUGUCCCCGUAAAUCUAUAAAGACUUUAAAUCCGCGCAGUUGGUCCCGUUUGUUUAACGUUAGCUGUCUUAACGUACCACCACAGACUGUAUACGACAACGACAACGCUUUACGUUUAAAGCGAUAGCAUUCUUACCACUGAUUUUAAACCACUGGGGAUGGAUCACCUUUCACGGAGUGGUCGUUUUCUUCCGUUUGUAGAUCUACCAAACAAAAAGCGGCCACUGUGUGUCGUAAACCAAUGAAACCGAUGUGUGAACGUCAGCUAACUAGUACGUUGUGAUCAACUAGCUAGCUAAAUAAGUUUUUAAAAAGCUUCAUGAGCUAAUUUACACCCUUCUUCGUGUAGCUAAAUUAUCAGGGAGCUAUCCAGAUAUUUAUUUUUGGUGUUAGGUUAGCUUAGGGGUAGCUAACGUAAGCUAGCUUAAUUUACAUUAUGGAGGUUUUACGUCCAGCUCUUAUCAACAUAAAUGGGAGAAUAUACCGAAGGAAUGUCAUUAAGGAGGAACAUUAUGAGGAAGAAGAAGAUUUCUCUUACAUGGGACCACCUGACAGUGAAGACCUUGCAGCUGAUGAAACCUGUGAUACCCACUUCAUUGAACAGAUUGAUAAGGGAUACCGCUGUGCCAUUGACGUCCCAAGUGUUCUUUACAAAUACAUCAUUGGGAAAAAAGGAGAGACACGCAGACGUCUUGAGUAUGACACAAAGACAUCUAUCAGCAUCCCAAAACAAGGAGUGGAAGGACAGAUAGUUAUCACAGGUUCCCAUAAAGCUGCAGUCACAUCUGCAGUCACACGAGUUGAGGUCCUUGUUGAAAGUUUCCGGAAAAAGCAGCCUUUCACGCACUUCCUGUCAUUUCCUCUGAAUGAUGCAAAAGUUCAAGAAGGAUUCCUGAGAUUUAAAGAUGAGGUUUUGCAGCAGUGUUCACAGGAUCAUGGAGUAGAGGUAAGCAUCUUUCAGAACCCUGCAAAGCUUCACCUGACAAUUGGCACCAUGGCUCUGUUAAAUGACAUGGAAGUGAGAAAAGCAUGUGCACACCUCCAAGAGUGUCAACACUUCAUCAGGGACAUCACAGAAGGAAAACCACUGCCGUUGCAGGUGACAGGUAUAGAGUACAUGAAUGAUGACCCAGCCAUGGUGGACGUCUUGUAUGCCAAAGUCAACGUGAAAGACAAAUCAGACAAGUUACAGAUGAUUGCGGACCGGCUGGUAGAGCACUUUGUCUCAGCAGGGCUAAUGCUCAGAGAGUGGGACAGAGUUAAGCUGCACGGAACUGUGAUGAACACUCUGUUCAGAAAGGACUCCACAGUUGAAGACACAGGCGGCCCAGGAAGACAAAUGAAUGAAAGAGAGGCUUUUGAUGCCAGAAACAUAUUAAAGAAAUUUAGUGCUCAUUGUUUCGGGGAGUUUGAGCUGAAUACCGCCCUGUUGUCCCAGAGAUAUUCGACAGACUGUACGGGCUAUUACACCUCUGCAGGGAGCAUCAGCUUCUCAUGAGCAUCAACAGGGCCGAACAGAUUCUGAGCGAGAAGGCAGGUGAUCCCUGCAGCAGCUCUUUAUCAUUUUAAGUGCUGAGUCUGGAGGCUGCCUCCAGCUGUCCACGUCUGUUUACUGCUGGAGGCGUUCACACAGGGAGAGAGAGUGUGUUUGAACAGCAGGUGAUCGAUGAACAUUGCAGCAGGAUGGAAAGUGUUCACUGUGGCUGGCUGAUGAAGAAACUCUCAGUAGACAGUAAAGCACUGCGGUGAAACAAGUUUCCAUCAGAUGAUGAACAUGAAUGGACUUACAACAGAGUAUGUUUGCUGAACGUUUUCUUCAAAUCAGUUGGAAAAUGAACAUUUGUUUGGGUUGUGUUUUCCCUCACGGUGGCAGGAGGUGCUAUAUAUUUUAACAUUCUGUUUAAAUCUGGCAGGAGUAAAUAAAUGUGUAAAGCAUCCACCCUUGGCCUGUUGCAAUUAACUGUUGUGUACCAGGAAUUCCUGAAGCGGUCGUUAGUUGUUACAUCACGUGAGAAUAUGUGUUGCCACGAUAAGCAGCUCGUGAUGGGCCUUAUGAGCUAUUUGUAAGACAGAGGAGGGAUGUGCUGUGCUUACAUUUGUAGACAGCAAAUAUUUACAGAUAAGCAACCUUUCAAAUUUAGCUGCCUGCAGUCUUGUCUGACGUUAUUCAAAUGAAGCUUUCCUCCCUUCAACUCUAUGCUUGGUGAACAGGAUAGAUAUGUUUUAUCAACAUCUGCCUAGAGAGGAACAGGGGGGAACUGAUGACAUCAGUUAAUCUCUUUACAAUGAAAGUCGCUCUUCCACAGCGUGACUCUGAUAUGUAGAAGUAGAUGUUAAACAAGUUGUGUGGAGCUGCUUCCAUAUUUAAAAUAUAAGAAGCUGCACGUCACGUUGAACUCAACUCAAACAUUUUUGCUGAAGCAAUCAUUGGGGGACUGUUAUAUCAUGAAACAAUAUGCACACACUCAACAAGGAAAUAGAAAACAAAAAUAAAGUCAAUUCAAGCAUUACAGCCCAUUUUAGUAUAAACCCAGCCCAGUAUAAUAUGGUCUGUUUAAAGGCUGUAAUAGCAGGAAUUUGUCUCAUGAAUUAGGAUUAGGCUCUUCGGUCUAUCAUGGUUCCAUAUCACUGCUGUUUCUGCUGAUUGGAGAAACAAUAUAUGAAUCAGAAUGAAAUGACAAUUCCAUCAGUUUAUCAGGCUAUUUUCAACCUAUUGAAUAUAGCUCAAGUUCAGUUUUGUUGUUAUAUGGCAAUUAGCAUUAAAAAGACCAAACCUGCA